This 500-nucleotide ribosomal RNA is filed under the name uncultured bacterium. RNAcentral describes it as "partial 16S ribosomal RNA". It matches the Rfam family "Bacterial small subunit ribosomal RNA", at positions 30 to 523 of the family's 1533-position model. The record is from RNAcentral.
AUUGAACGCUGGCGGCAUGCCUUACACAUGCAAGUCGAACGGCAGCACGGGAGCAAUCCUGGUGGCGAGUGGCGAACGGGUGAGUAAUAUAUCGGAACGUGCCCAGUCGUGGGGGAUAACGCAGCGAAAGCUGUGCUAAUACCGCAUACGAUCUAUGGAUGAAAGCGGGGGAUCGCAAGACCUCGCGCGAUUGGAGCGGCCGAUAUCAGAUUAGCUAGUUGGUGGGGUAAAGGCCCACCAAGGCGACGAUCUGUAGCUGGUCUGAGAGGACGACCAGCCAAACUGGAACUGAGACACGGUCCAGACUCCUACGGGAGGCAGCAGUGGGGAAUUUUGGACAAUGGGCGCAAGCCUGAUCCAGCAAUGCCGCGUGCAGGAUGAAGGCCUUCGGGUUGUAAACUGCUUUUGUACGGAGCGAAACGGUCUGCCCUAAUACGGUGGGCUAAUGACGGUACCGUAAGAAUAAGCACCGGCUAACUACGUGCCAGCCGCCGCGGUAA